AGGACGAACGCUGGCGGCGUGCCUCAUACAUGCAAGUGGAGCGACGAACCAGGCUUCGGCCUGGGGCAAAGCCGCGAACGGGUGAGUAACACGUGGGUUACCUGCCCCGAUGAUUGGGACAACCCGAGGAAACUCGGGCUAAUACCAAAUGUGCUCCUGGCCGUGAUGGCCAGGUGGAAAGGAAGCUUCGGCCUCCGCAUCGGGAUGGGCCCGCGGCCCAUUAGCUAGUUGGUGGGGUAAUGGCCUACCAAGGCGACGAUGGGUAGCUGGUCUGAGAGGACGAUCAGCCACACUGGGACUGAGACACGGCCCAGACUCCUACGGGAGGCAGCAGUAGGGAAUCUUGCGCAAUGCGCGAAAGCGUGACGCAGCAACGCCGCGUGGGGAAGAGGUUUUCGGAUUGUAAAGUCCUUUCGGCGGGGACGAUGAUGACGGUACCCGCAGAAGAAGCCCGGCUAACUUCGUGCCAGCAGCCGC
This 477-nucleotide ribosomal RNA is filed under the name uncultured bacterium. RNAcentral describes it as "SSU rRNA". It matches the Rfam family "Bacterial small subunit ribosomal RNA", at positions 26 to 518 of the family's 1533-position model. The record is from RNAcentral.